RNAcentral lists this unclassified non-coding RNA (1829 nucleotides) under Hevea brasiliensis (rubber tree). The record is from RNAcentral. Lineage: Eukaryota; Viridiplantae; Streptophyta; Magnoliopsida; Malpighiales; Euphorbiaceae.
UUGAAAGAAAAUCAUACUCCCGCUAUUUUACAUAACAUCAACAGAUCAGCAGUUCCAGUUUAGCAACUCCUAUAAGAACUUAGCUCAUGUACAACAUUUCAAUAACUUGCAGGGGGAAUACAGAGAUAAUAGGUACAUCUUUAAAUAUGCCAUUAAACUGGACGGAAUGAUGGCGAAGAGAAUGCUGAAUCAGAGUACAGAUCCUUCAUUCAAUCAGAUUGUCUAGACAGAGUUUACCUAGGGGAACCAUAGAAACUGUGGUGAUAGGAACCUUCUUUGACGAUUGGGUUUCUCCUCUCUCUCUCUGACAAGGAUCUUCCAAAGCUAUGGCUUCUUGGCAUUGAAGCACUGUCCCUUGGGCUAUGAGAUGAAUAUCGUGGGUCAUAAGCCCCAUAUCUGUAAGAAUAGGUUGACAACAAGGGGCUAGUUCUAGGAUCACAACCAGGAGGUCCGUCAUCUUCAAAAUCCCUAGACCGACGCUGUUCAUGAUAAUGCCCUCUGUUGACAUAGUCUUGUGCAUGGUUAUAACGGUUGUGUGAAUGACUUCUCGAAUAACGCGAACUCGAAGGCGCAGCUUCCCAACGUCUUUCAUCAGCAUGUUCAGGUAUUGGGGCAUUUACACCUGGAAAAUCAACGGUCAUCUUCCUGGGCAGGUUUGGAAGGCUUUUAUCAAGAAUUUCCCCUUCCUCUGUUUCUUCCUUAUUUUUCUCAUCAGCAAAUAUUGUGAUUCCUGAGGGUUGAUCCUCGUCGUCUUCCAAAUAUCCUGGUGGAUAUCCCAUUUGCCUCAUUCUAUUAAUCCAGGGAGGUGGAUCAAGCUCCCCAAGGCCCAAAAGUUUUCGGGUUUCCGAAUCCAGGGCACCUGGUCUUAAACCAUCAUACUUUCCCCUCGGAGAAUCUUGAUAAUAUCGAGUUGGAUUGCGAGAACUGGCACUUUGAUUCCUUCUGGACUUGUGCUGUUUACGGGCACUAUUAACAGCUGCAUUAUCACGAGGCUUAGGGCAUUCUUUCAACGCGUGGCCAUAGGAACCACAAUUGAAACAUCGGGAACUAUCAACCAUUUCUAUUCCUCUUUCCACAUUGGUUGAACUAUCUGUUGCAGUCAAAGCAAAUGAAUAUCCACGAUCAUAAAGAGGAAUAGAGUUGCCGUCCAAUGGAAUAAACUCGCUCUUGUUGUUACUUGCUUGUUUGUCCACCCAAUAUGUCACUGCAGAAGGUUUCUCCAAACCAACAUGAAGAGCAGGGAAAUAUGUCUCUUCACCAGAUUCUAACAGUUCUCUUGAAUCCUGUGCUGAAGAACAAUGUUUGGCAUGCCACUCUGACCAUUGUUGUAGCAGCCCCUCAAGCAUCUUUCUACUCUCUCUUGUUAAAGAAUCAUAAACAACAUGCACUGACGGUUGCUCAACAUCAAGAGUUGCUCGAGGUCUCUUAACUCCAGAUAAGCAUUUGACACCACCAAUCUCCUGAGUGCUGACAUGAUCUUGAUCCUCUGUCUGAUUACUACUAUAGUUUGCGUCUGGCAAACUUAGAAGUCCAUUCUCAGCAUGUAUUACAGAGUCGACCAUAGUUACUUCUUCUGUUAUCCCAACUGUUUCUGCCAACUCAACACAAACUUGUGAUGGUGUUCCAGUCAAGUCAACACCAACUUGUGAGCCAGGGUCACUCUCCAAAUCCAUGUCACUAUCACUUUCACGUAAAGGUUCGUUGCUUUCACUGACUUCGAAAUUAGUGGUUUUGGAAGUGUCUCCAUUUGCACCAACUUCAAUAUUUUCAAUUCCUCUUUCAAGAUUAUCAGAUGCAGGAAGGUUGUUUGGAUCCUCAGUCCCCAUGAA